AAAGGAAAAGGAGGGGAGCCAGCAAGCAGGCAGGAAAGAAGGAAGGAAGGAAGUGAAAGGAAAAGGGGAAAUAAAAGGGGGGAAGGUGUAAGAGGGAAACCAAGGGAAGAAGAAAAGGAAGAAAGAAAGCAAAAAGAGAAAAAGAAAGAAGGAAGGAAGGGAAGGGAAGGAAGGGAAGGAAUGAAGAAGGGAAGGAUAGAAGGAAGAGAAAGGAAAGGGGGAAAUAAAAGGGGGAAGAAUAUGGAGGAA
Non-coding RNA from Anolis sagrei ordinatus, 249 nucleotides. The record is from RefSeq and is a predicted model, not a curated record. NCBI's taxonomy places the organism in Eukaryota, Metazoa, Chordata, Lepidosauria, Squamata, Anolidae.